This 92-nucleotide non-coding RNA is filed under the name pig gut metagenome. RNAcentral's name for it is "SAM riboswitch (S box leader)". It matches the Rfam family "SAM riboswitch aptamer (S box leader)". Rfam says of the family: The SAM riboswitch is found upstream of a number of genes which code for proteins involved in methionine or cysteine biosynthesis in Gram-positive bacteria. The SAM riboswitch acts at the level of transcription termination control. The record is from RNAcentral.
CUUAUCAAGAGCGGUGGAGGGAACGGCCCUGUGAAGCCCGGCAACCUGCGAUAAAGCAAGGUGCCAAAUCCGGCGGUGAAACGAAAGAUGAG